RNAcentral lists this non-coding RNA (24 nucleotides) under Drosophila melanogaster (fruit fly). Lineage: Eukaryota; Metazoa; Arthropoda; Insecta; Diptera; Drosophilidae. The record is from RNAcentral. RNAcentral also lists the same sequence under 5 other names.
UAACCGAAAGGUUGGUGGUUCGAG